This 546-nucleotide ribosomal RNA is filed under the name Microascus gracilis. RNAcentral describes it as "eukaryotic LSU rRNA". It matches the Rfam family "Eukaryotic large subunit ribosomal RNA", at positions 98 to 664 of the family's 3401-position model. Lineage: Eukaryota; Fungi; Ascomycota; Sordariomycetes; Microascales; Microascaceae. The record is from RNAcentral.
GCGGCAACAGCUCAAAUUUGAAAUCUGGUCCCCCCGCGGGGCCCGAGUUGUAAUUUGAAGGGAUGCUUCUGGCAAGGUGCCGUCCGAGUUCCCUGGAACGGGACGCCGCAGAGGGUGAGAGCCCCGUACGGUCGGACGCCGAGCCUCUGUGAAGCUCCUUCGACGAGUCGAGUAGUUUGGGAAUGCUGCUCAAAAUGGGAGGUAAACCCCUUCUAAAGCUAAAUACCGGCCAGAGACCGAUAGCGCACAAGUAGAGUGAUCGAAAGAUGAAAAGCACUUUGAAAAGAGAGUUAAAAAGCACGUGAAAUUGUUGAAAGGGAAGCGCUUGCGACCAGACUCGCGCCCGUCGGAUCAGCCGUCGCUCGUCGGCGGCGCACUCCGGCGGGCUCGGGCCAGCAUCAGUUCGCCUCGGGGGGAGAAAGGCGGCGGGAAUGUGGCUCUACGGAGUGUUAUAGCCCGCCGCGUAAUACCCCCGGGCGGACUGAGGACCGCGCGUAUGCAAGGAUGCUGGCGUAAUGGUCGUCAGCGACCCGUCUUGAAACACGG